ACUCCAUGAAGCUGGAUUCGCUAGUAAUCGCGCAUCAGCCACGGCGCGGUGAAUACGUUCCCGGGCCUUGUACACACCGCCCGUCAAGCCAUGGAAGCCGGGAGUGCCUGAAGCCUGUGACCCAACCGAAUGGAGGGAGCAGUCGAAGGUGGGACCGGUGACUGGGGUGAAGUCGUAACAAGGUACC
This 187-nucleotide ribosomal RNA is filed under the name uncultured bacterium. RNAcentral's name for it is "partial 16S ribosomal RNA". It matches the Rfam family "Bacterial small subunit ribosomal RNA", at positions 1315 to 1500 of the family's 1533-position model. The record is from RNAcentral.